This 71-nucleotide transfer RNA is filed under the name Eviota japonica. RNAcentral describes it as "tRNA-Val". It matches the Rfam family "tRNA". From Rfam's summary of the family: Transfer RNA (tRNA) molecules are approximately 80 nucleotides in length. Their secondary structure includes four short double-helical elements and three loops (D, anti-codon, and T loops). Further hydrogen bonds mediate the characteristic L-shaped molecular structure. tRNAs have two regions of fundamental functional importance: the anti-codon, which is responsible for specific mRNA codon recognition, and the 3' end, to which the tRNAs corresponding amino acid is attached (by aminoacyl-tRNA synthetases). tRNAs cope with the degeneracy of the genetic code in two manners: having more than one tRNA (with a specific anti-codon) for a particular amino acid; and 'wobble' base-pairing, i.e. permitting non-standard base-pairing at the 3rd anti-codon position. The record is from RNAcentral. Lineage: Eukaryota; Metazoa; Chordata; Actinopteri; Gobiiformes; Gobiidae.
CAGUGGGUGGCUAAGUAGUACAGUAUCUCCCUUACUCUGAGAAGACACCCGUGCAAUUCGGGUCCCACUGA